This 72-nucleotide transfer RNA is filed under the name Cronartium ribicola 11-2. RNAcentral describes it as "tRNA-Tyr (GTA) (tRNA-Tyr-GTA-5-1)". It matches the Rfam family "tRNA". From Rfam's summary of the family: Transfer RNA (tRNA) molecules are approximately 80 nucleotides in length. Their secondary structure includes four short double-helical elements and three loops (D, anti-codon, and T loops). Further hydrogen bonds mediate the characteristic L-shaped molecular structure. tRNAs have two regions of fundamental functional importance: the anti-codon, which is responsible for specific mRNA codon recognition, and the 3' end, to which the tRNAs corresponding amino acid is attached (by aminoacyl-tRNA synthetases). tRNAs cope with the degeneracy of the genetic code in two manners: having more than one tRNA (with a specific anti-codon) for a particular amino acid; and 'wobble' base-pairing, i.e. permitting non-standard base-pairing at the 3rd anti-codon position. Lineage: Eukaryota; Fungi; Basidiomycota; Pucciniomycetes; Pucciniales; Coleosporiaceae. The record is from RNAcentral.
GUGUCUGUAGCCUAGUGGUAAAAGGCGGCACUGUAGAUGCUGAGGUGAUGGGUUUGAAUCCCACCAGACACA